RNAcentral lists this ribosomal RNA (252 nucleotides) under uncultured bacterium. RNAcentral's name for it is "partial 16S ribosomal RNA". It matches the Rfam family "Bacterial small subunit ribosomal RNA", at positions 524 to 776 of the family's 1533-position model. The record is from RNAcentral.
UACGGAGGAUGCGAGCGUUAUCCGGAUUUAUUGGGUUUAAAGGGUGCGCAGGCGGCACGGCAAGCCGGCGGUCAAAUCGCGGGGCUCAACCCCGCCCAGCCGUCGGAACUGCCGGGCUAGAGUGGGAGAGAAGUGCGCGGAAUGCGUGGUGUAGCGGUGAAAUGCAUAGAUAUCACGCAGAACUCCGAUUGCGAAGGCAGCGCACCGGCGCCCUACUGACGCUCAGGCACGAAAGCGUGGGUAUCGAACAGG